UGGGGAAUAUUGCACAAUGGAGGGAACUCUGAUGCAGCGACGCCGCGUGAACGAAGAAGGCUUUCGUGUCGUAAAGUUCUUUUAUAUGGGAAGAUAAUGACGGUACCAUAAGAAAAAGCCCCGGCUAACUACGUGCCAGCAGCCGCGGUAAUACGUAGGGGGCUAGCGUUGUCCGGAAUCACUGGGCGUAAAGGGUUCGCAUGCGGAAAUGCAAGUCAGGUGUAAAAGGCAGUAGCGUAACUACUGUAAGCAUUGGACAGUGCAUAUCUUGAGAAGAGUAGAGGUAGGUGGAAUUUUUUGUGUAGCGGUGAAUUGCGUAGAUAUUAAAAAGAAUGCCGGUGGCGAAGGCGGCUUACUGGGCGCAUUCUGGCGCUGAGGAACGAAAGCGUGGGUAGCGAACAGG
Molecule: ribosomal RNA, 403 nt
Filed under: bacterium
Lineage: Bacteria
Description: partial 16S ribosomal RNA
Rfam family: Bacterial small subunit ribosomal RNA
Source: RNAcentral